This 83-nucleotide transfer RNA is filed under the name bacterium ADurb.Bin363. RNAcentral's name for it is "tRNA-Leu". It matches the Rfam family "tRNA". Rfam says of the family: Transfer RNA (tRNA) molecules are approximately 80 nucleotides in length. Their secondary structure includes four short double-helical elements and three loops (D, anti-codon, and T loops). RNAcentral also lists the same sequence under 1 other name. The record is from RNAcentral.
GGGCGAGUGAUGGAAAGGCAGACAUGCAAGACUUAGGAUCUUGUGGGGACAACCCCGUGAGAGUUCAAAUCUCUCCUCGCCCA